Molecule: ribosomal RNA, 253 nt
Filed under: uncultured bacterium
Lineage: Bacteria
Description: partial 16S ribosomal RNA
Rfam family: Bacterial small subunit ribosomal RNA
Source: RNAcentral
GACGUAGGGCGCGAGCGUUGUCCGGAUUUAUUGGGCGUAAAGGGCUCGUAGGCGGUUUGUCGCGUCGGGUGUGAAAAUCCAGGGCUUAACUCUGGACUGGCUUCCGAUACGGGCAGACUAGAGGUAUGCAGGGGAGAACGGAAUUCCUGGUGUAGCGGUGAAAUGCGCAGAUAUCAGGAGGAACACCGGUGGCGAAGGCGGUUCUCUGGGCAGUACCUGACGCUGAGGAGCGAAAGUGUGGGGAGCGAACAGG